AACGAACGCUGGCGGCAUGCCUAACACAUGCAAGUCGAACGAGACCUUCGGGUCUAGUGGCGCACGGGUGCGUAACGCGUGGGAACCUGCCCUUAGGUUCGGAAUAACUCCCCGAAAGGGGUGCUAAUACCGGAUAAUUUCUUCGGACCAAAGAUUUAUCGCCUUUGGAUGGGCCCGCGUUGGAUUAGCUAGUUGGUAGGGUAAAAGCCUACCAAGGCGACGAUCCAUAGCUGGUCUGAGAGGAUGAUCAGCCACACUGGGGCUGGGACACGGCCCAGACUCCUACGGGAGGCAGCAGUGGGGAAUAUUGGACAAUGGGCGAAAGCAUGAUCCAGCAAGGCCGCGUGAGUGAUGAAGGCCUUAGGGUUGUAAAGCUCUUUUACCCGGGAUGAUAAUGACAGUACCGGAAGAAUAAGCACCGGCUAACUCCGUG
RNAcentral lists this ribosomal RNA (433 nucleotides) under uncultured bacterium. Its description in RNAcentral is "partial 16S ribosomal RNA". It matches the Rfam family "Bacterial small subunit ribosomal RNA", at positions 29 to 507 of the family's 1533-position model. The record is from RNAcentral.